GACACUCCAGAACAACUGGAACGUCGCUCACCUCAAACAUUUCCACUUCUAAAAAGGCGUCACCUGAGUCGUACUCUUUUUCCCUUACCGAGUUUUGUCCCAGUUGGGUUUUCUCUGGAAGGUUUUUAACAAGGCGGCAAAGGGGUCACCUGGAGAUGUUUGCAGCACAAGUGCAUCAUCUCCGCCUCUCCAUGAACUCUCCAAGCCAGACAUGAU
Molecule: long non-coding RNA, 216 nt
Filed under: Nicotiana benthamiana
Lineage: Eukaryota; Viridiplantae; Streptophyta; Magnoliopsida; Solanales; Solanaceae
Description: long non-coding RNA (NBEN_LNC022194)
Source: RNAcentral